RNAcentral lists this unclassified non-coding RNA (897 nucleotides) under Hevea brasiliensis (rubber tree). The record is from RNAcentral. Lineage: Eukaryota; Viridiplantae; Streptophyta; Magnoliopsida; Malpighiales; Euphorbiaceae.
AAAAGAUGAAGGUUAUAUGAUUGAUACAAACUUGUUGCAUAACUCUGAAUGUAACUACGCUAUCAAUGAAAACUAUUAAUGUAACUUACAGAAAGUUAAAAAUGCAAUGCAUUUUAAGUGUUAAAAAUGCAAUGCAUUUAGGAUGUAAAAAAUGCAACUAACUUUCCAGCGAAAAAAGGGUGAAAAGUUACAAAGUCAAUGCAUGUGUUUAAAAGAGAAGAAAUAUAAGUAGAAAAAUCUUAACUUCUAUAACUGUAGAUUAAUCCUUGUAAGAUGAGAAUGAGAAGGAAACUUUAUGGUAUCCAGAAAAAAAAUGUGGAAAGUAACUUAGAAAAAGUUAAAAUGCAAUUUCUUUGGUUGCAAAAAAUGCAACUAACAUUAAAGGGAAAAAAAUUGAGAAGUUAUGAUGGCGAAAAAAGAAAUAAAUUUGAAAAAAUAAAGAAUAAGAAAGAAAAAUAAGGGGAAAAAGAUAUUGCAAAGAAGUUAAAAGGGAAAUAAUAUAUUUAUUUUAAUCUUGAUUGGGAGAUGGCUUGAUUGACAAAUCACAAAUGAGUAUAGUCCUGAUUAUUGACUAGGGUUCAAUUUUAAAACAAUUUCAUAAAUAAGCAUUUUCAUGGCAGAUCAUCCUAUAUUUUCUAGUGUGGAUGGCCUACUUUGAUUGAGAAGAUGGAUUAAAUUCUAAGAAUGAAAAUUUGGUCUGGAAUGCCACUUGAUUUCAAAAUAAAAGAGUCAAAGGAUGCACCAAAUUGAGAAGAAAAUGUUUUAAUGAAGUGGAUUAUGUGAAAAAUAGGAUUUGGAUUCAUUUAGGAAUUUUCCAAUUAAUUUUUUAGGGCAUUUCCAAUUACUUUUUAAAAGGCCAGUUAGGAUUUUGCUCUGUUUUAUAUUAUUAAAAUGUUA